GAACCUUACCGAGGUCUUGACAUCCCUGACAACCCGAGAGAUCGGGCGUUCCCCCUUCGGGGGGACAGGGUGACAGGUGGUGCAUGGUUGUCGUCAGCUCGUGUCGUGAGAUGUUGGGUUAAGUCCCGCAACGAGCGCAACCCUCGACCUUAGUUGCCAGCAUUCAGUUGGGCACUCUAAGGUGACUGCCGGCUAAAAGUCGGAGGAAGGUGGGGAUGACGUCAAAUCAUCAUGCCCCUUAUGACCUGGGCUACACACGUGCUACAAUGGGCGGUACAAAGGGUCGCGAACCCGCGAGGGGGAGCCAAUCCCAAAAAGCCGCUCUCAGUUCGGAUUGCAGGCUGCAACUCGCCUGCAUGAAGCCGGAAUCGCUAGUAAUCGCGGAUCAGCAUGCCGCGGUGAAUACGUUCCCGGGCCUU
Molecule: ribosomal RNA, 419 nt
Filed under: uncultured Anoxybacillus sp.
Lineage: Bacteria; Bacillati; Bacillota; Bacilli; Caryophanales; Anoxybacillaceae
Description: bacterial SSU rRNA
Rfam family: Bacterial small subunit ribosomal RNA
Source: RNAcentral